RNAcentral lists this ribosomal RNA (329 nucleotides) under uncultured eukaryote. Its description in RNAcentral is "partial 18S ribosomal RNA". It matches the Rfam family "Eukaryotic small subunit ribosomal RNA", at positions 1470 to 1796 of the family's 1831-position model. The record is from RNAcentral.
CCCUUAGAUGUCCUGGGCCGUACGCGCGCUACACUGAGUGUCUGAGAUACGAGUCUGCCUGGUCCGGCAAGGUCUAGGUAAUCGCUAAAAGACACAUCAUGCUUGGGAUAGAUUAUUGCAAAUAUUAAUCUUGAACGAGGAAUUCCUAGUAAGCGCAAGUCAACAGCUUGCGUUUAUUACGUCCCUGCCCUUUGUACACACCGCCCGUCGCUACUACUGAUUGGAUGUUUAAGCGAGGUUCUCGAACUGCUAGCGACUUAGCUUCGGUGAGGUCGCAGUGUGGGAAGUGAACCUAGCUUUGGUGUCUAGAGGAAGUAAAAGUCGUAACA